GAAAGAGGGUCGCGGACUAUUCCGCGACCCUUUUUCCCGUUGCGGCAGCAUUCGGAGUUCGGCUACCGGCCGCUGCCGGCAAGCGGAAG
Molecule: small RNA, 89 nt
Filed under: Paenibacillus sp. P22
Lineage: Bacteria; Bacillati; Bacillota; Bacilli; Caryophanales; Paenibacillaceae
Description: Termite-leu RNA
Source: RNAcentral